Molecule: ribosomal RNA, 1409 nt
Filed under: Bacteroides fragilis str. J38-1
Lineage: Bacteria; Pseudomonadati; Bacteroidota; Bacteroidia; Bacteroidales; Bacteroidaceae
Description: bacterial SSU rRNA
Rfam family: Bacterial small subunit ribosomal RNA
Source: RNAcentral
GUGAGUAACACGUAUCCAACCUGCCCUUUACUCGGGGAUAGCCUUUCGAAAGAAAGAUUAAUACCCGAUGGCAUAAUGAUUCCGCAUGGUUUCAUUAUUAAAGGAUUCCGGUAAAGGAUGGGGAUGCGUUCCAUUAGGUUGUUGGUGAGGUAACGGCUCACCAAGCCUUCGAUGGAUAGGGGUUCUGAGAGGAAGGUCCCCCACAUUGGAACUGAGACACGGUCCAAACUCCUACGGGAGGCAGCAGUGAGGAAUAUUGGUCAAUGGGCGGUAGCCUGAACCAGCCAAGUAGCGUGAAGGAUGAAGGCUCUAUGGGUCGUAAACUUCUUUUAUAUAAGAAUAAAGUGCAGUAUGUAUACUGUUUUGUAUGUAUUAUAUGAAUAAGGAUCGGCUAACUCCGUGCCAGCAGCCGCGGUAAUACGGAGGAUCCGAGCGUUAUCCGGAUUUAUUGGGUUUAAAGGGAGCGUAGGUGGACUGGUAAGUCAGUUGUGAAAGUUUGCGGCUCAACCGUAAAAUUGCAGUUGAUACUGUCAGUCUUGAGUACAGUAGAGGUGGGCGGAAUUCGUGGUGUAGCGGUGAAAUGCUUAGAUAUCACGAAGAACUCCGAUUGCGAAGGCAGCUCACUGGACUGCAACUGACACUGAUGCUCGAAAGUGUGGGUAUCAAACAGGAUUAGAUACCCUGGUAGUCCACACAGUAAACGAUGAAUACUCGCUGUUUGCGAUAUACAGUAAGCGGCCAAGCGAAAGCAUUAAGUAUUCCACCUGGGGAGUACGCCGGCAACGGUGAAACUCAAAGGAAUUGACGGGGGCCCGCACAAGCGGAGGAACAUGUGGUUUAAUUCGAUGAUACGCGAGGAACCUUACCCGGGCUUAAAUUGCAGUGGAAUGAUGUGGAAACAUGUCAGUGAGCAAUCACCGCUGUGAAGGUGCUGCAUGGUUGUCGUCAGCUCGUGCCGUGAGGUGUCGGCUUAAGUGCCAUAACGAGCGCAACCCUUAUCUUCAGUUACUAACAGGUCAUGCUGAGGACUCUGGAGAGACUGCCGUCGUAAGAUGUGAGGAAGGUGGGGAUGACGUCAAAUCAGCACGGCCCUUACGUCCGGGGCUACACACGUGUUACAAUGGGGGGUACAGAAGGCAGCUAGCGGGUGACCGUAUGCUAAUCCCAAAAUCCUCUCUCAGUUCGGAUCGAAGUCUGCAACCCGACUUCGUGAAGCUGGAUUCGCUAGUAAUCGCGCAUCAGCCACGGCGCGGUGAAUACGUUCCCGGGCCUUGUACACACCGCCCGUCAAGCCAUGGGAGCCGGGGGUACCUGAAGUACGUAACCGCAAGGAUCGUCCUAGGGUAAAACUGGUGACUGGGGCUAAGUCGUAACAAGGUAGCCGUACCGGAAGGUGCGGCUGGAACACC